UACCUCAUUAUUGCAAUGCAUGCUAACCAUAGCAAACCGAAACACAUCUUCUUCUUCUUUGCUAAUAAAGCAGGAUCCUAAAAAAAGAAAACCUUCAGCAAUCUGCCACGUGGCAAUAGUCCCCUUAAUUUUUCAAAACUACCCCACCGAAAAAUUGACCAUCCAAAAUUUCUCACAUUCAUUCAGUUAUUCUUAAUUCUUUUUGGUUGUACAAAGAAUCAAACAGCAUCGAAGUUGUACUAGAAUCAAAGAUUAUUUCAUUGCAAGGAAUGAAGAUUCAAGCUACUAUUAGAUAGAACUUAUUUUUUCAGCUUGGUGCCUUAAAAGAAACA
This is a long non-coding RNA of Erigeron canadensis, 332 nucleotides long. RefSeq lists it as uncharacterized. The transcript has 3 exons. NCBI's taxonomy places the organism in Eukaryota, Viridiplantae, Streptophyta, Magnoliopsida, Asterales, Asteraceae. The record is from RefSeq and is a predicted model, not a curated record.